Molecule: long non-coding RNA, 1190 nt
Organism: Xenopus tropicalis (tropical clawed frog)
Lineage: Eukaryota; Metazoa; Chordata; Amphibia; Anura; Pipidae
Exons: 4
Source: RefSeq, a predicted model, not a curated record
UUGGAGGAUGUAGCUGGGAACCCAAUGAGCAAUGAGACCGUGGGGGUUUAUGUGGGGAAUGAUGGAACCAAUUUCACCUAUACAACUGGGCAGGAUGGAACAGCAGAGUUCUCCAUUGAUACCAGCUCUUUCCAACUGUCAUCUGUCAGGAUCAAGGUGAUGCUCCAAUGAGGGAUUAUGGUUCUUCUGUGGUUCUUCUCUAUAAAGCACAAGAAGAAAUUAUCCUCUGCUCUGUUUGUGUCCUAACCCAGCUACAAGACUGGAGACUACUGCUCUGGGCACAGGUGGCUGACUGCAUCGUAUGAAGAGGUUACACGCACCGUUAACCAUUUCUACUCCCGGAGCAAAAGCUUUCUGAAAAUCCAGCCUAUCCACAGGACUUUGGAGUGUCAAAUAGUAGAGAAAGUCAAUGUGCAUUACAUUCCGACUCCUGAGGGUGUUGGCGAGGCAAGAAACGCAGUGUUUCACUACCUGGUAAUGGCAAAGGGAGGUAUAGUAGAAAAUGGCAAACACACAUUGGCACUUAUCCCAAAUCAAGGAGAACACAUUUAUAUCCCACGGGUGUAUCAAACACAAUGGGAAUAGAGACACCAAGUGACAGAAAUGCUAAUGUAGAGUCUGAUUCUGAACUAAGUGGAGCAGAGCAAAACAAAUAUGAAGAAAAUGGAAAUGUGGCAGAAUCUUCUAUUACUGAAGCCAGACUUCACUCCAAAGCAAAGCGCCGCCUGAGGAAGAAUUCCCCCCGGGACUCGGGGAGAGGCGACUCGGUCAGUGAUAAUGGGGAAAGCACGAGAGUUCGGGGGAGUUCCAGAAAUCUGUCUUGCCCUGCCCCCGCCUUUCCCUGGUAGGGAGCAGAAGUUUUCUCUGGAGACUCUGGAGAAGGGCCAGAACUAGGGGUAACUAGGCAGAAAGGGUUUGUGUUGUGCCCCCCAAGUGUUGCCCCCUAGGCACGUGCCCCUUCUGCCUUCCCCUAGUUCCGGCCCUGCCCAUAGGCUUCUUUUCCCCCUGGUUCUCCCCUGUGUGGGUGGGAGAGAUAGACAGACUGCAGCCCUGUUCAACAUGAGCCAAUGAAUGGGGCUUGUACUGAACAUUCCUUUUGCCUAUAUGAAGCCGCUUUCACUUUAGCACUUCCUUGAUAAACCUAUGUACAGUGGGCAUGGAACUGUUCAGUAGCCUCUGGGGUUCAUAUU